GAUGAACGCUGGCGGCGUGCCUAACACAUGCAAGUCGAGCGGACGGACGAGACGUUUGCUUGUCUGAUGUUAGGGGCGGACGGGUGAGUAACACGUGGAUACCCUACCUAUAAGACUGAGAUCACUUCGGGAAACCGGAUCUAAUACCGGAUGAUAUGGUGAACCGCAGGGUUCAACAGAGAAAGACGGAUUUGCUGUCACUUAUAGAUGGUUCCUCGCUGCAUUGGCUAGUUGGUACGGUAACGGCCUACCAAGGCAAGGAUGCGUAGCCGACCUGAGAGGGUGAUCGGCCACACUGGAACUGAGACACGCUCCAGACUCCUACGGGAGGCAGCAGUAGGGAAUCUUCGGCAAUGGGCGAAAGCCUGACGCAGCCAGGCCGCGUGUGUGAUGAAGGUCUUCGGAUCGUAAAGCUCUUUUAUUUGGGAAGAACAUAUGUGUAAGGAAACGUGCACGUCUUGACGGUACCUACUCAAAAAGCACCGGCUAACUACGUG
Molecule: ribosomal RNA, 497 nt
Filed under: uncultured bacterium
Lineage: Bacteria
Description: partial 16S ribosomal RNA
Rfam family: Bacterial small subunit ribosomal RNA
Source: RNAcentral